UGGUCGGUACCCAAAUCCAAACUCGAGAAGUUUCUCCCGUCUAGAACUUUUUCUUCUUCUUUUCUUUUUCUCCCUUUCCUUCCUAUUUGUGUCUUUUUUCCUUUUCGUCAUGCUUGCCGUCUCAUGCUUGAAAAGCUUGGUUGGUGUUCUUUAUCUUUUGCCGUUGGACAAUGCAUUGGGUGAGUGAACAAAAAGGUGACCUCGAUUUUCUUCUUCUUCUUCUUCUUCUUAUUGUCUAUUUGUGCAAUAAGGGAUUCUGCUCGUAUGAUUUUUGCUACUCAACGGCCAAUUCUCUAAGGUUUUUCAUUGUUAUGCAAAUUCGUAGCUUGGUCAUAAAAUCAGCUUUGUGGGUCAUUUACCCUAUCUUCCAUUUACAUUCAUUUUUAUUUCAAGCUUAUUGUAGUUCUAGGUUAUAUAGGGUUCUUAAUCUUGAAUGUGUUUUUGAUUAUAUAGCUCCUGGGUUUUUCAACUUUCAAUGUUGGUUAAAUUUACGGUAGAAGAAACAAAGAAAAGAAUUCCAGAGCUGGCACUUGACUGAAAUGUUAAGCAAAAGUAUUAAAAACCAGGAGCAUAUCAGUUACUUGAAGUAACUGUGAUGUUUCCUUUGGCUUUCUCUCUAAUAAUUGAUAUCAUUCAAUUUGGACCUUGAGAAUUGUUACUGUGACUUUUUUUUUUAUUUGUUUUAUAACUUUUGUGCUCUACCUAGAUUUUCUUGAUAUGUUUGAGAUUUUCAUGUUGUCAAAUUUAUUUAUGUGUUGCUUUAGGUGGAAGGAAAUCAAUAUAUAUUAGUGCUUGAAUUAAUUAUAUACUAGGACAUAAGUGCACAAGCAUUGUCAAAAGCUAAAGGGAUAAAUAAAUCCAAAGUCUUCCAUUUUUUUUCUUAUGGUUUGGACCAUCAUUUGACUAUUUUAUCAUUGAAAAGUUGCAUAUUAUUAUCAUGAGAUUAGAUAUGUUCCCCUUUUAAGGUGAUCAUCUGAUUUAAUGAAGAAUUAUAGCAUCACAUUCAACUAAGAGAGACAUGUUUAUGUCUUAAAACUUUGUAGAUUAUUCCUUAAACAAUCACUAAUUUAUUGUUAAUAGAAAGCAUCUCACCAAUUAGAAAAUUAGCAAUAUUUCUACAUCCCAUACAAGGGAUUUAAAAUUUUCACUGUCAUGAUGUUUCUUCCUUGAUAAUUAGUGGAGAAAGUGAAAGGAAACUAGAUAGUGUUUCUUUUUAUUUACUUCAAAUACAUCAUCGUGGUUGAUAUACUAGUAAACACAUUUCCCAAUUACUCUCUUAUAGUUUGUUUGUUCUACUCAUAUUUGACUCUCAUGUAUUCUUCUCAUAUUUAAACUGUUUUUUUUAGGGCUGACUCUUUUUUUUUUUUUUACAGAAGGGCUGACUAUUAAAUUUGCUUCUUGUUUUAAAACCAAAUAAAAAUAUAUAUGUAAAAGUCAUGUUUGAUAGAUAUUUGAUUUAGACUCACAAAAUCUUUUGAGACCUUAAUUGCAUAUGUGGUCAUAUUCAAAAAUUUAUUUUUACAAAUAUAUGUAUAUUGUCUUCAAAACACUGCUAAACAUUUACAGUUUAGCUCUAUUUACAUGUGAUUUAAAUUUUCUAAAGUUCAUGUGGUUCUUAGUUCCCAUUAUGCACCAUAUAUGUUUGUAGGUAUUUUAUAAAACAUUUUAUAUGGUUCUAUGUUUGAAUUUUACUAAAACUUGGUAGAGGAUCCUAAAGGAAUUUAGAGGUGCACUUUCUAGGACUUUUAAAAUUUUGUAUCUAAUCUCAAAUAGAUUUUCUAAUCUCCAUUGGCCAACUUACAGUCACAAGAACUGCCCAUUUAACCUAAUAGUUAUAUAGUUCUCAAACUUUCUUGAAUUGAAAGUUCCUAGGUAGGAGGCCAUCUACAUGUCAAAAGUGUGACAAAAUGAACUUUCCUUGAGUGUAAAGUAAAAUAAUGGUCACUGAGAUCAGUAUGAAGGCUACAAAAUUACUGGUUUCUUAUUGGUUAUCUGUCGUGCAAGUAAACUGUUAUUGCCUCUCUACAAUUCACACUAAGAAUGAACCAAGCCAUUCUAUGACUCUAGGUAAAGCUAAUGCUGUGAAUGGUUGGACUGGACAUUACUAUUAGCUAUUGUAUCAAAACUUUGGUGUAGAUGAUUUUGUGGCCAGAUUCCUAUUUUAAAUUUUCUUUUUCAUAAAAAUUUUGGUUUCAGUUUUCUUUAUCUCUACUUUGCUAUUUUAACUAUGUAAUUGCUUCUCUCUUCAAUAGCAACAAUUACUAGAUAAUCUAAUUAGAAACUAAAAAAAAAAGGCAUCUGUUCUGUUAAGAUUUAUUUGAUCAUCACCAACAUAGUUUUUUCAAUCUUUAUGGUUUUUAUCCUAAUUGCCACUAUGUUAUUGGUUCAAGAGACAUGUAAUAUUGAUGGUGGAUGGUGUAUUAGAUCAAGGACUAGCAUGCGUAGGUUUCCUUGACAAAAAUGAUUCCAUAGUACAUGUAAUUUUGUUGAACUUUUAUCCUGUUUUUCAAAACAGCUUGCUCAUUGAUUUA
This is a long non-coding RNA of Theobroma cacao (cacao), 2531 nucleotides long. RefSeq lists it as uncharacterized. Lineage: Eukaryota; Viridiplantae; Streptophyta; Magnoliopsida; Malvales; Malvaceae. The record is from RefSeq and is a predicted model, not a curated record.